RNAcentral lists this ribosomal RNA (500 nucleotides) under uncultured bacterium. Its description in RNAcentral is "partial 16S ribosomal RNA". It matches the Rfam family "Bacterial small subunit ribosomal RNA", at positions 30 to 523 of the family's 1533-position model. The record is from RNAcentral.
AUUGAACGCUGGCGGCAUGCCUUACACAUGCAAGUCGAACGGAUCAAAGGAGCUUGCUCUUCUGGUUAGUGGGGAACGGGUGAGUAAUGCAUCGGAACGUACCCAGUAGUGGGGGAUAACGUAGCGAAAGUUACGCUAAUACCGCAUACGACCUGAGGGUGAAAGCAGGGGAUCGCAAGACCUUGCGCUAUUGGAGCGGCCGAUGUCGGAUUAGCUAGUUGGUAGGGUAAAAGCCUACCAAGGCGACGAUCCGUAGCUGGUCUGAGAGGACGACCAGCCACACUGGGACUGAGACACGGCCCAGACUCCUACGGGAGGCAGCAGUGGGGAAUUUUGGACAAUGGGGGAAACCCUGAUCCAGCCAUGCCGCGUGAGUGAAGAAGGCCUUCGGGUUGUAAAGCUCUUUCAGACGGAAAGAAAUCUUCCGGGCUAAUACCUCGGGAGGAUGACGGUACCGUAAGAAGAAGCACCGGCUAACUACGUGCCAGCAGCCGCCGUAA